Molecule: long non-coding RNA, 363 nt
Filed under: Carassius auratus (goldfish)
Lineage: Eukaryota; Metazoa; Chordata; Actinopteri; Cypriniformes; Cyprinidae
Description: lncRNA (ENSCARG00000030369.1)
Source: RNAcentral
AUGGAGGAGGAAGAGGUGGUUACGGUGGAGGUGAUGGAUAUAAUGGCUACGGAGGGAAUGGUGGCUAUGGUGGAGGUGGACCUAAUUACGGAGGCAACCGCGGUUAUGGAGGAGGCGGCGGAGGUGGUGGUGGUGGUGGCUAUGGAAACCAGGGUGGAGGCUACGGUGGCGGCGGUGGCUAUGAUAACUACAACAGUGGAGGUGGAGGCAACUUCGGAGGAGGCAACUUUGGAGGUGGCGGGGGCUACAACGACUUCGGCAGCUACAACAAUCAAUCUUCCUCUAACUACGGCCCAUACGGCGGAGUAUAAACUGGUGGACAGUUUGACUGUAACAGUAACCGCCAAUACAAAUGGCUGCUGA